UACGAGGAGAAGCGCCCAAGCGAGAA
Molecule: ribosomal RNA, 26 nt
Filed under: Pyricularia oryzae
Lineage: Eukaryota; Fungi; Ascomycota; Sordariomycetes; Magnaporthales; Pyriculariaceae
Description: partial 28S ribosomal RNA
Source: RNAcentral